GCGCUUCUUGCUGCCAACAUGUGAAGAAAGACGUGUUUGCUUCCCCUUCCACCAUGAUUGUAAGUUUCCUGAGUCCUCUCCAGCACAGUGGAACUGUAAAAUCAACAAGGAAGGCGAUGAGCACAGCAGUGUGAAGUCCAACUUCAAAGCACUGACACAUUUGGUGUCUGAUGAUGUCCGGCUUUCUCAUAGACGGCUACCUUCUUCUCACUGUUACCUCAUAUGGUGGAAGUCAGUUUUCAAGUUCUAUCACCAAGGAUUACUUAGGACUUCCUUGACCAGUCCUGCAGGCCAGUAAAAUCUGCAUUGACAACCUGGAUCAACUUAAGAAGAAAGUGAUCAGAGUUAGGAACACAUUCAGAACCAUAAGACAGCAAGAAUUCUUCAAAGAAACGAAUUGUUUGUCCUGGAGACAAGACUAUUUGUGUCAUUGUUUUCAAAUAUGUAAAUAAUUUUUAUGUAAAAAAAAGAAUUAUUAUUUUCAAAGAAACGAAUUAUUUGUCCUGGAGACAAGACUAUUUGUGUCAUUGUUUUCAAAUAUGUAAAUAAUUUUUAUGUAAAAAAAAAGAAUUAUUAUUUUUAAUGAAGUAAUAAGUGGCAGAAUUCAGACCUACUAAUGAAAAAUGCAUGCAGCAGAAUUUGGAACAACUGGAGAAAAGAACUUUGUAAUAGCCACAGAAAAAUACUGGUUGACUUGGGAGGUAGUGGGGUCUGGUAGAGGUGUUCACCUGUGGACUCAUUGGCCACAUGGUGGAGAUGUUGUAGAAGGUAUUCAGGUAUCACCACAGGGGAUGAGCUCUACGACCUUGACAGUCCCUUUGAACUCUGAGAUUUUGUAAGCCUACAAAUUCAUACUUAUUUGUAUCGAGUUUGUGCUGGCUGAGGACUGUUGCAGAGCAUAUUGCAGCUUUCAUAGAAAUUUAUAAGAAAUGAUCCUUGAUUUCAAACAAUAGAAUCACCAAUGUUACAGCUGAAAUAAAACUUAAGAGAGCACCUCACCUGACUCUCAUUGUAAAAAUGAGUGUGCUAAGGCCAAGAGAGUUCAAAUGGCCUUCACAAAAUCACUCAAAAGUUGUCACCAAGUCAGAGCUCAAAUUUUCAAAUGAGAGAUAAAAGAUAUAGGUUAUAUCUCCAAGGAACAUUUAGAGGAACACCUCCUUUUAAAAAGAAAGCUGCAAUGAAUAAUCUCUUCUCCUAUACUUUACUUAGUAGAUACAAAGUACACAGCUUUAAAAAAAAAACAAAAAACAACUAACCAAGUGAUCCAUAUUUAGCAAAAAGCAAGUAAGCAAGAAACAGAGUAUUCAACUAUGCAGCCUGCUCCUAAAUUUUGGAGACAAAUGGGCCUGAAAUAGUAAAUUAGUAAGAUUUUAGAAAAGCUGCAGGAAGAUAGUUCUUAACUUGAACUACUGCCCUGGGAGACAUCUGAUUGGAGAUUUGGGGCUUCUAAGGGAGUUGAGGAAGCCUAUUUCAGGUAAAAGUUGUCAUUCCUGGGCAAAAAGCAAAGGAAAAAAACAAAAUACUUCCCACUGUUGUAAUGCAGAGAAAGAUACCUGUGUUAGGGUUUCAGAUUGUGUAUGGAGUCAAGGAAACUUCUUACCCUUCAGCAUGUUUAUGGAUUUGUGAACAGCAAAAAAGGAAUUAAAGCAAUUAUAACAGAGUAAUUGAUGGUGGCAACUUUAAAGACCAGAAUACAUUGAGAAAUUAUACAUAUAGAGACAUAUAAAUCUGUGAUGUAGGAAAUGAGCAGUCUAACAUAGGUCCCUGGAUCUAGUGAGAUGUUCACAUCUCCUAACACUAAGCUCCAGACCUCCAGUGCUGUACACAGGAAUUCACACAGCAGAGGUUAUCACGUAAUUAACACUUGACAUGAAUGGAACCCUGCCACACAGAAAUGGCCAAGGCUUAUAUCCUGGGAAUCAUGAUGAAGGUCAGGGCCAGCUCUAGGCAAAACUCGACCACUCUCAUUGCAUUUCCUGCAUUACAACUAAAUUAUACAUUUUCACAUCUAUCUUUCAGGUGAUAAUGUGAAUAGCUCAAAGUCAGGAUCUAUUGAAAUCUAUCUCUUGUUUGCUGUGCAAAGCCCAGAACUUGCUAUAGGGUAGAUGUGCAAUGAAUUUUAGUUAAGCUGAAGCUAUACUGCAUUUCUCUGAUAUUCCCUAGUGCUAAGAAACUGUACGUUAAUCUGAAACUUUCUCUCACAAAUGAAUCUUGGCACUAGGAAUGUGUAUGUAAAUGUAGCAUGUUUAAGCUCAGGCAUAACUUUGGUAAUUUGUCUUUAGCAUCAAUAAGUCAAAUGGCUUAACUUCUCCAAAAUUCAAUUUCUUCGUCUAUAAGAUGGAGGUAAUUAUACUUACUUCUAGAUUUCUAAAAUUGUGGUGAUGGUAAAAAAAAUUCUAUAUGCAAGUUAUCUAGAACAAUGUUUGUCACAAAUAAGCAUUUAAUAAAUGAUGUCGGUGGCCAUUAUCAACAAAUUAUUCAUUUUUGUCUCUUUAUUAGGAUCUGAGAUAAGAAAUCACUUGUGUUAACUUUUAAGAUAUGAGAUCUGGGCCAGUUGGAUCCGCUGAGGAUUCAGGCAGGAUUCUCAUUCUCAGAGAGGACAUAGCUGUUAACUCUAGACCAGCACUUUAAUAAUACAUAUUCCUGUUAGAACCUGCUCACUGUAAAACAUCAUAGAAGAUAAUUAUGUUGUUUAAUUGAAUAUACCACCCGUUAACUUGGUGGGUAAUUUUCGCCAAGUGUAUAAUAUUUUCUGUCACUCCCUAUUUUUUUUACUUUAACUUAAUUUAGCCCAUGGCUUUAUACUGCUCCUACUUCAGAGCAGACUUUUCCCCAGUCUCUCUGUUCUGCUGAAUUGCAUCUUCACAUGUGUUCAAAAAGAAAGAACAAGAAAUGAGAAGACAAUGAUCAAGAUCCUUUCCAUCUUGUUGCCUCCAAGAGAUUUUUUAAAUUGAACACAUGAAAGGUUAUAUGACUAGUAAGGUGCUGUACAGAGGAGGAAAUAACUAGACAUAAGAAAAAUAUAAAGGCCCCUGGACUAAAAGAAUUCUAGACUGUAAACAGCCAGUUGUACUCUCUCCAAGUCUCCAGGCCUUUAUCUACUAAAGGAGGAGGUUGGGCUAUAAGGCCCUCUCAGGGGUUCCGGAGAACACCAGUAUUUUUCAUCUCUAUGAGCUUCCUCUUCCCUCCUCUACCACUUUGGGGCUUUGAGAUUUUAAGGUAUUAAUGGAGAAAAAGAAAACACUAAACAACAAAAGAUGAAUAGUAAAGCGCAACUUGAAUUUAGAAUCCAUCUUAUACCUAAUCUUUUGCUGCAAAUGCCUUCAGGACACUGAAUUUAAAAGCACUAAAACUUAGUUUAUAUGUUUUGCAUACUCAAUGGCCAAUGAUGGGAAAUUACUCAAGAUAUGAAUGGAACAAAAUUUUUAAACUUUUCUGGAAAUUUCUGUACUUUUUUGAGAUUGGGUAGUUUUGAAAAUCUUAAAUUCCGAUUAGAUAAAAAUAUGUAAUAUAAUUAAAUACUAUUAAAAAUAGUACAUUUUCAAAGUAGAAAAUUAAAAAGCAAAAAAGCUCAUGAACAAAGAAUAUAGUUUAUUCAUGGUUUCUUACUCAAAUCAGCUUGAUAUGAAUGAUAUACCAUUAUCAUUCCACAGUUUGCAAAGAAUUACAAGUUGAUGCUCUGAGAAGUGAUGGGAUGUGCAUUUGGUAUAACACAGGUACUUUGGAAUAGAGCUAGGAUAAAUCUCCGGGGUUAGAGUUUUUGAACAUAGGUUAUAAAAUCAAGUUAAGGUUUUUGCAAAUCUUGGAAAUGACCAAAUCAAAUCUUAAGUGAUUGAUUUGAGUUCACAUUUUUGUGCUAUUGAAUAACAACUACAGACAACACAGUGUUUGGAGAAAGAAAUGGUGUCAUGACAUCUUUGAAAAAAGGUAAAAGCAAAGAUAAAAACCUGUGUGAAUACUUGCAGUUGAGAAUGUGAAAUAAUAUGAUUUAGGGAUGAUUUACGGAAGUGAAAGUUUUUUUGACCAAAAAAAAAAAAAUUGGCCAAGAAUCAUGGAAAUGAAACCUCAUGUAAGAGUCGUGUUUGAUGAGUUGCCUUAAGAAAGUUCUCAGUGAACAUCUCUUUGAGUCAGCUUCUGGAUAAGUGAGUUGCACAAAAGCCUCUCUGACAUAGUGUGCUGCCAACCCUUGAGGAAUCUACAUUUGGGCAUUAUUUCUCUAUGAUAUAAAUUUUUAGUCAAUCAUGUUUGAGAAAUCAUCACUUAAAUUUUUUCCUUUCCUUAACAGAAAGCUCUGUCAGUGCUUUGAAAACAAAUAUGCUCUAUAAAUGUAAAAAUCAACACUAGCAUUACCAUUAUCACUAACAUUUUUUAUUUUCCAUCUAAAUGCAAUACUUCAUAUUUAUGGAUAACUUUCUUUCAAAAAUCUCCUGAGUUUGUCACUGUGCAAAUGGUACACAUUUGUUUAGAAAUUGGUAUAGGAAAAGUAAAAUACAAAAAAAAAAAAAAAAAAACCCAAAACUUCAAAAGAAUUUCAGAAAUAGCUCUUUCUGUAAUUUAUUUCAGAGAUGAUUGCUUUUAUUAAAAUUAUUUUUGAAGUUUGUAACUAAACUUUAAGAGGAGAAAGAUUUUUCAGUCUGUUUGUAUUAAUAUCAUGUCUCAUAGUGAUCAUUAACUUUUCUUCAAACUUAUAUGCCUUCACCAAAUAGUUACUGAUAGUUUGCCAAAAAAACAGAAGAGAAGAGACAUGAACUAAUAUGUAUUAAACAUGAACUACUUGAAAGGUAUUGUGAUGAAUAUUUUAUAUUCAUUGUUCGAUUAACUCCACCCAUUAUGAGCAAACUGAUGGUCCUCUAAGAGCUCAUGAAUGACUCAGAAAUAGUCACACAGCUUGUACAAGGUAGAGAUUGGGCUUCAACAAUUUCUGGAAAUGUUUCAGGAUUUCCCUUGGCCCUGACCCCUUCCUCUACCAAGUAAUAAUUUUUGAAAGCUGCGUAUGAGAGAGGUGGAGUUUUUGAAAACUCAGUGGUUCCAGGCAAAAUAACUGAGUGAAGUUCACGAGCUGAGAAGAAGCUUGCAACACUGUAGGAGCUAUCAGAAGGUUAGCACAGUCACAGGGACAGAUGUAAUUGAAACUUCAGGUGAGUUUAGAGCACAUGCGACCCUAUGGACCAUGGUAAAGGUUUUGGUCUUCAUAUUAAGAGAAUGGGAAACUUUUAAUGUUUCCUAUGAUUAUGACAUUAUCAUAUCAGUGACUUAAGAAGAUGGCUCUAGCCUGGCCAACAUAGUGAAACCCCGUCUCUACCAAAAUACAAAAAUUAGCCAGGUGUGGUGGUGCAGUCCUGUAGUCCCAACUACUCAGGAGGCUGAGGUAUGAGAAUAGCUCGAACCCAGUAAGCUGAGGUUGCAGUGAGGCAAGAUCAUGCCACAGCUCUCCAGCCUGGGCAUCAGAGCAAGACCCUGUUAAAAAAAAAAAAAAAAAAAAAAAAAAAAAAAAAAAAGAUAGCUCUGACUACUAAGUGGAGAAUAGGUGAAAGAAGGAAAGCCAUUCAAAUAGACGGCAGUGAGAGAAAUUUAAGGGAAAGAUGCUGGUGAUUUGGAUUUCACUAUUGGCUGCAGAGAAAGUAAGAAGCCGAGAGAUUCAAGAUGUAAGAAAAAUCAACGUGGUUCUGUGAUUGACUGGAUAGGGUAAAAUCAGGAGAAUGAUUUCAGCCAUGAUAUCAGGUUUCUAUCGUAAAAAUACAGACAGAAGUUGGAAUUAAUUAUGUAUUAUUGAUUAAAGUUAUUAAUCAUGCAUUUUUGAUUAAAACAAUUAUUUUAGCAUCUCAGUAAAUUAAAGAGGAUACACUGAAAAACUUUCUAAUCUAGAAAUGUUCAACUAGUCAAUCUAGACUGAAGAAUUUCCCAACAUAUAUGUGAUGUGCAUGUUCUCUGGAGAGAGCAUGCAUGUUCAUUCCUUCUAAAUCAAUGUCUACAUUGGUAAACUUAAAAUAUCAAAGAACAAAAAAUAAAUAAUUCAAUUCAGAAGCAGUUUUAGUUAAAUGUGGCUGAAUAAAUGCAUGCCCUUACCUGUGCCCUUUUUUGAAAUAAAGUCAUAAACUCCAAAGACAAAGAAAAUGGAAGAGAAACUAACAGAGAAAGCAAGGAUGAGGAGAAGAAAGUGGAAGAGGAGGAGAAGAAAGUGGAAGAGGAGGAGAAGGAAAGGAAGUAAUGAAGAAUGGAAGGGAGGAAAAAGGGAGGGAGGAAGAAAGAAAAGAGAAAGAGAAAGAAAUAAAGAGGAAAGAAAGAAGAAAAAGAAAGAAAGAGAAAGAAGAAAGAGAAAGAAAGAAGGACAGAAAGAAAGAAAAAAGAAAGAAAGAAAGAAAGAAAGAAAGAAAGAAAGAAAGAAAGAAAAGAAAGAAAGAAAAGGAAGGAAGGGUAAGGAAGGAAGGGAAAUAGAGAGGAAGGAAAGGAGGAAGGAAGGAAGAAGAAAGAAAGAGAAAGAAAAAAGAAAGAAAAAGAAAGAGAAAGAAAUGUAGGUGGGCAGGGAGGGAGGCAGGGAAGGAGGAAGGAAGGAAGGAAGGAACAAAGGAAAAGAAUUCAUGAUUGGGGGAAGAUUAAAAAUGAACGGAGAAAAUAGCAAAGCAGAGAAAUACCAUUCACAUGUACAGAGGAAAGCCAUAGACAAGCAAGAUAACAUGUAACAGUACCCGCAAAGUUCCAAAAAUUAGCAAUACCAUGUGCCAGCAAAUGUGAGAGUAAGUAAUGAUACUCCAAAUAAGGGGAUGUGUUAGACAACCAGUACAACUGUGGUCUUACUUCCAACAUCACGCAGUUCUUCUAUCCCAUUCUAGCAGAAAUUUCAUUCGGUAGAUUAAUUGAGACAGAGAGACCUCAGGGUCGAGUAUACUUGGCACAGCACAGGAAAUCAGGAGGAUUAACGACAAUAAAGAAAUUGAAUGAGGCCACUUUUAGCUCCCUUUCUUUGUUAGGCUCCAAAAACCUGGGUAAUCAAUAACUACUGUCACCACCACUGCAACCACCAUCACUUCCCAUCCUACAUCAUUCUCCAAGGUCCCCACCAUGUCUUCCUUAAGCAGGAGAUUGGUAGAGUGUUCACUAGAGAAAAGAAAUAACCCCUGAAAAUACACUUGUAAUUAUUUUUAUUUGAAGGCAUCUCAAUAAAUACAAUAAACUGGUCCCUACAAUGUCAUCUUAACCAAAAGUUUAUCAGUUAACAAAUCCAACCCGUCCACAUAGAGCUCAUAAGUUUUAUAGCACGUCAUUCUCAAAUAUAAAUGAACAGCCAAAUAGUAUCAAUAAAUUUAAAAUAUCUUCCAAUUUGAAAGUCAAAGGACAAAAUAAAUAGGAAGAAAGCAGCUUGGAGUAAAUAAAGACAAUACAGAUAACAGAAAAUGAAUAUCUUUAAAAAUACUAUAGCUAAUAUCCUCAGAUAGAAAACAGAAGAUAGUCUAUCAAUAAAACAAGAACAGGGUAUUAUACAACAGGAGCAAUUAGACAAUAAGAACUAUUUUAAAUUAAAAACAUGAUGCUUAAAAAGUCUCAACAUUAUAUUAAAAAUUAAAGUUGAAACAAUCUCCCAAAAAGUAAUACAAAAAGAUAAAAUAGAAAAUAAAAAAGAUACAGUUGCUUAACAAAUUUAAGAUAUUCAAAUUAUUAGAGUUUUAGAAGAAGAAAACAGAGAACAGAAAAUUAUACAAAAGAAAAUGAAUUAAGAAAAUAUCUCAGAAUUGAAGGACGAGUGUCUCUGAAGUGCCAAGGAAAAUAAGUCAAAAAAGAUGCACAUCAAAGUAUAUCACCAUAUAAGCUCAAAAUACGAGUGUAAAGAGAAAAAUUCUAAAAUUUUGAGGAUAAUGUAGAAAGUUCCACAUUGAAAAAAUAAAGUAAUGGCAUUGGACUUCUCAAAAGCAACACUAGAAGCUAGAAUGCAAUAGAUGAAUGCUUUUAAAAUUCUGUAGAAAAUAAUUUUCAACCUGUAAUUAUUUACUUGGUAAAAUGAAAGUUAAAUAUAGGCCCUGAAUAAAAAUGCAAGGUUACAAACCAUGGACACCAUAUGCAAGCUCACAAAAUUAUCCAAAAAUAGAUGAUGCAACCUCUGAUUAAGAUAAGGGUAAGUCUCAGGAUGGCAGCUGUGUGGCAGACCUAUGAAAUAGCCUUUCUAGAGUGGCAUGGUAAAAAGAGGGAUACUCUGGAAAAAGAUCUCAAAGAAAAUGGAAGGCAUGGGAUAAUUGAUAUGCUUGAAUGUAAGAAACAUUUUACAUAGAAAGGCUUUAUAUUACUUUGAAGGGCUUGGGAAAAAUAUUGAUAAAAGAAACAUAAAAGCCAAACAAUAAACAAAAAAAUAACUGCAGAGAGAAAAUUUACCCAAAAGUAAACAUUGUGUAUAAUUUUGAAUUACUAUUAAAAAUACGUAUUUUUAAAAUCCAAACACCAAAUAGCAAUUUAACUAAAAUUAUUAUAAUGAUAAUAGAAGUAGAUAAGGGAAUUAGAUAAAAAUUACAAAUCAUUUUCACCAAUCCACAAAAUCGAUAAAAAAUAUACAAAAUUGAUAAAUCAAGAAAUUGUUUUGAAAGCAAAAUAUUUAGUAUGAAUUAAACUGUCAGGAAGACACAAAUGUAAGUGAGUAGAGGAAUUUGACAGUGAAGCAUAUGGCAUAGAAUAUGUUUUUUAAAUUAUAGUCUUAUACUUUGAUUUUAUUUAUUAAAAUGUAAAAUGUUGGGCCAGGCGCGGUGGCUCACGCCUGUAAUCUCCGCACUUUGAGAGGCCGAGGCGGGUAGAUCAUGAGGUCAGGAGUUUGAGACCAGCCUGGCCAACAUAGUGAAGCCUCAUCUCUACUAAAAAUACAAAAAUUAGCUGGGCAUGGUGGCAGGUGCUUUUAAUCCCAGCUACUCAGGAGGCUGAGGCAGGAGAAUAAUUUGAACCCAGGAGGUGGGGGUUGCAGUGAGCCAAGAUUGUGCCACUGCACUCCAGCCUGGGUGACAGGGCAAGACUCUGUCUCAAAAAAAUAAAAGAAAAAAAAAGUGUUUUAGAUAUAUACAAAUAUAAAAAGUAAUUUAUUAAAAAUGUCGGGGAAAAUAGUUGGGAAAUCCUCUUGUAGUUAAAACGAAUUUAGUUUUACUAACUAUGCUUAGAAUUUGAUUAAUAAAUGUAUUUGCAAUAUCAAAAUGAUCUUUAUAUUUCUUCUUGCAUUUUACUCAUCAAAUGCAGAAUAUACUGACAUAAUGGAUAACUGUAGGAAGCUAACUUUCUGAAAUGAGGCCUAAUUGAGCUGUUUUUCAUGUAAAAUAAGGGUCGUGAUUUUGUCUCAAAUCAAGCAUUAUCAACAAUUAUCUAGACUUUUCUUGAGCAGUCUUUCUGCCAUAAGCAAAUAGCAAAGCAUCAAUAACAAAAUACUGUAUUUGACACUGGAUCAGAUAAUAGUCACAGCAUUAUAAAUAAGAAGUUUAAAUAUGUGCUUAUAAAGUAUCCUUUUAUUAAUUGAGGAAAUAUUUGUUUGAUUAUUUGUCUGUGAUAAAAUUGAAGCUUGAGUUGGAUGAACAUAAUCUUAAUGGUUGUAAUAAUAGUCAAUAAAUUAUUUCAACUAUUUUAUAAACCUUUUUAUUCAAUGUACAGACAACCCUAACUAAUAAUAACAAAAUAACAAUGACAACAAAGUAAUAAUAACAGAUAACCUUACAGAAACAAAGCUGACAGCCAAACUGGAUGAAGUGAUAAAGAUCACUGGGAAUUAAUAAUUUUGAUUUAACUAGUAUUUAUUGAGCACACAAUAUGUACCAACAGCCAUAUUUGGUACUUUGCAAACAUUAUCUCAUUAAGUCUUCAAUUUAUUGAUGAGAAAUCCAAGAUCACAGAAGCUAGGUAAUUUUCCCAAAAAUUAUACAACUAAAAGAAAUUAUAGAACCAGGGUUCAAACUUGGCUCAGUCUAAAUCUAAAACUCAUUCCUUUCUACUGUCAGAAAAAGUUUUUUAAUUGAAGGCUUCAGAAGGAUUGCUUUUGAGAAGAAACAUGAGAUGUUGUGACUAUUUCUAAAAGAAAGGAAUGAAUGUUAACAGAGGUUUAUAAAAGCAAAAUUAUUUUGGUUGUGGCUCCCCAAGCAAUGAGUCAAUUAUGCACAUACUGAGUUAAAGAAGAAGGAGAAGAAAAUAGAAGACGACCAUGAUCUCUGAUUAGAUAUUUGGUUAGCUUGAUAGAAAAUGAGUACUGAAAUAAAGUAGAGAUGGAGAUGAAGAUCAAAUAUACAAAACAAAGUUGGAGCAGGGAAAAAAUAGAAUGAGAGAAGAUAAAAAAUAGGAGAGAAAGAAUAAAAUGAGAAGAUAAGAGAAGAGAGGAAGGAAGGAAGAGACAAGGAAAGAAAAGUAAAUAGAAAAAGGAAAGGAAAGAGAAGAAAGGAGGAGGGAAAGGAAGUGAGAAAGGAGGAAAAAAAAAUCAAUAUCCCUCUUUGUAAUAAAUACGCUGUGAAAUCACUUACGGAAAAAUUGAGUAGAUGUAAUUUUCCCUAUUCUCCCUGCUAAGUAAAACAAAAAACUCUGUGUAUUAUACAUAAAACCAUAAUAAGAAUACUCUGACAGGUAGAGUCAAGGCAGACAAGCUAGGGAGCAAGGAAUGAUAUGGUGAUGAGUUUCCUGAAUUUUGUUUUUGCUUUACAUUUCCCAGAUUAGAACUGAAGACGUCAGCAACCCAAAAAUGUCAAUGGGCACAGAUUAAAUAAUUAUUAUUAAUAAUAAAUAAAUAAUUAAAUCUGUUCUCUUGAGUGAAAAAAGCAGGAAAGGAGCCAUCUAGCAAGUCAGAAAUAUUGUACAUAGUAAAUUUACUAUUCUAGCCAAACACCAAACACCACAGUAUAUGUUGUGGCUUUAUCCUUACACAUGACAACAAAGGCUGAAUGGGGAACUCAACUUUCACCCUUAUCUGGCAUUAACAAGGUAUUCUAACCUCCCCACUGUGAUGGUUUCAGAGAAGGCUGUGUAGGGAGUCUAUGCUUCCAUUCCCACCUGACAAUAAUGCAGCACCACUACACUCCUUCCUGGAUUUAUGCCAGAGGAAUCCCAGUAGAGAGUCAGAACUUUUACUACUGCCCAAGAAUAACAAAGCUAAAACCCUUGUGGUGUUGAUGGUAGAAGACGGGUUGAUGUUGAACACAUCUUCUUUAGAACUUUUACUACUGUCCAACAGUAACAAGGCUAAAACCCUAAAUGGUGUUGAUGGGAAGAAAAGAUCCUGAAUCAUUAUUGCCAGAUGAAAGUAGAUGUUCAGAUUCCCUUGUUAGCCUUUGUUGACACUCAAGGGAGGAGGCUCUUUGUUAAUGCUGCAGAUAGUGGAAGUUUUGGCUUCUCACUAGGUCUACACUGAUAUCUCCCAGACCAAGAGGGGUAGGAGUACAUCAGUGGAGACCCCGUGAGGAGCCAAGACUUCCACUAUACCCAGUGUUAACAAACAGCCUCCUCCCUUGGGUGUCAACAGAGGCGAAGAAGGAAUCUUGACAUCUACUUUCAUCUGACAAUAAUGAUGCAGCAUCUCUUCUUCCCCUGCUAAAGUACUAUCAAAAUAAUUUAGCUAAAAUAUAAGAUUUACAUAAUAUCCAGAAUCUUAUAACAUAAUACUGAAGAUGUCCUAGGUUUGAAAAAUAAGUAAUUUGUCACAGCAAAAACCAGGAAGAUCUCAAACUAAAUAAAAAAGUCUCUAAUUAAUGUGAAGACUAAGGUGAAAAAGAUAUUAGCUUAUCUAAAAAAAUUUAAAGCUGACAUCAGAAAAAUGUUCUAACCAGCAAUUACAAAGGUGCUUAAAACAAACAGAAAAACAGAAAGUCCCAACAAUAAAAUAAAAAAUCUCUGACAGGAAAUCGAAGACAUUAAGGAGAAACAAACAAAAAGGGUAAGCUUAAAAAUAUAAUAACCAAGUUAAAAAUCUCAAUGAAUGGCUCAACAUCAGAAUGGAGGGAAAGGAAAGAAUCAUUGAACUGGAAGAUAGGAUAACAAAAUUGCCCAUUCCAAACAUACACUGUUCCAGAAAAUAGACUGGAGAAAAUAACAGAGCCUCAGAAACACAUUGAACUAUUUUUUGAAAUGCUAAAAAAGGGGCUAAAAAUUUCCCAAAUUUGAGAAAAUACAUAAAUAGAGAGAUUCAAGAAACUGAAUGGAUUUCAAACAGAAUAAAUCUAAAGAAAUCCACAUCAAAAUACAUAAUAGUCAAAAUUCUAAAAACUAAAAUUAGAAAUCUUGAAAGAAGUGAAAUAAAACACCUUACCUAUAGGGAAAAACACUUCUAAUAAUAACAGAUUACUCAUUAGAAACUAUAGUGGUCAGGAGAAAGUGACAAUAAUUUUCAAGUAUAAAUAUUCCUUGACUUAUGACGGGUUUACAUACUGAUGAACCCAUAAUAUUUUGAAAAUAUGCCAAAAAUGCAUUUAAUACACCUAACCUGCUGAACAUCAGGAAGCUUAGCCCAGUCUUCCUAAAAUAUAUUCAAAAACUUACAUUAGCUUAUAGUUGGGCAAAAUUAUCUAACAAAAAGCCUAUUUUAUUGUGUUGAAUAACUAUUGUAAUUUAUGGAGUAUAGUACUAAAAGUGAAAAACAGAAUGGUUCUAUGGGUACUGAAAGUGCAGUUUUUACUGAAUGAGUAUUUCUUUUGUACCAUAGCAAAGUUAAAAAGUUAUAAGUUGAACUACCAUAAGUUCAGGACCAUCUCUUUAAAAAAGAAACAAAACAACAAUAACAAAACAAAAAACAAACAAACGAAAAAACCCUGCCAACUUAUAAUCCUAUAUGCAGUAAUAAUAUACUUCCAUAAUGAAGAAAAAAUCAACAUAUCCUCAUAUGAACAAAAACUAUCAGAAUUUGUCACUAGGAGACCUACCCUAAGAAAUUAGGUAAAUGAACUUCCCUGAACAGAAAUGAAACAAUAAAAGGAACCUAAGAACAUCAGUAAAGAAAAACAAACAGACAAACAGAGUAAGCAAAAAUAUGGGUAAUUUUCUCUUCCCUUGAGAUUUUGAAAUUAUGUUUGAUGAUGGAAGCAAAAGUUGUAAUACUGUUUGAUGUGGUUCUAAAUGCAUGUAGCAAAAAUAUUUAAGACAAUUAUAAACAGGAAGGUAAAGAUUGUAAAAAGAGGUAAAUUUUCUAUACUUCACUCAAACUGGUAAAAUGAUGACACCAGUAAUGUGUAUGUGUGUGUGUGUGUGUGUGUGUACAUGUAUUCAAAAUGUAUUUAACAUGCCUAACCUAUUGAACAUCUACAGUUAUAACUACCUAGAGUUAUGACAUAUAACAACUAGAUCAACAAUUAAAAAUAGCUAUACAAGUAGAUACACUCAAAAUGCAAUAGAUAAAUUAAAAUUGAAUUUUAAAAUACGUUCAAGUAACCCACAAAAAGGGAAAAAGCCAGUGCAGUGAAAAACAAUAACAAAGAGUAAAUAAAAAAUGAAAUGAAAUAUUAUAAGUGUUAUAAAAUGAAAUAAAAAAUUACUCUUUUAAGUCCUAACAUAUUAAUAAUUACAUUAAAUUCAACCAAUUAAAAGACAGAAAUACCAAGAGGAUUAAAAACAUGGGUUAACUAUAUGCUAUCUACAACUCUUUUCAAAUAUGACAUUGUUGGAAAAUUGAAAGUUAAUAAAAAAUAUAUAAUGAAAACACUAAGCAAAAGAAAACAGGAGUGACUAAGUUAAUAUCAGAUAGAUUAUAUUUUAGAGCAAAGGAAAUUAUAAGAGAUAAGGAGAGAUAUUAUAUAAUGACAAAAAGAUUACUCCACAGAAAAGAUACAGCAUUUCUUAAGGUGUAUGCAUCAAAAUAUAUAACUGCAAAAUAAAGAAAGAAAAAUUUUAUAGAACUCCAAAGAGAAAUAGACAAAUCCAUAAUUAUAUUUUGUAACUUCAACAUCCAUUUCUCAAAAAUUGAUGGAACAACUAUACUAAUAAUCAGCAAGGAUAUACAGGAACUCAAAUCACCAUCUACCACCAGGAUCUAGUUAACAUUUAUAGAACACUCCACCCAGUAUCAGCAAAAUACACAUUAUUUUCAAAUGGCCAUAGAGCAUAUUCCUUGAGACAUGAUAUCCAGAAACAUUUAAAAACAUAAAAUUAAAACUAACGCAUUUUAAAAAUUGAAAAUAGUUGUUCUCAGACAAAAAUGGAAGGGAACUAAAAAUUCAUAAUAAAAUGAUACCAGAAAAAUUUCCAAACAUUUGUAAAAUUUCCAAACUGUAUACUUCUAAAUAGCAGGUAAUAAGGAAAUCUCAUGGGAAAUUAAAUAAAAAUAUAUUGAACAUGAAAAUGAACCUUAUGAACAUAAAAAUUCCACUCUGUUUCCAAUACCACUUUCAUGUUUGAUGAUUAACUAGAAUAACUCACAGAAUACAGAAAAGCUAUUGUACUCACCCUUAUAGUUUAUAUCAGAAAAAAAUAGAUGAAAAAUAGCAAAAGGAAAAACACACAUGGGUAAAAUCCAAGAGAAAUUAGAUGUAAGUUUCCGGGUGUCUCCUCCUACUGGCAUUACACAGGGUUGUACUUAAUUCUCCUACUAAUGAUGUGCAUAACACAGAUGGAGUAUUGCCUACCAGGUAAGCUUUCCUGAGUCUUGGCAUCAGGGGGCUUGCAGAGAGGUGGUCAGUUACAUAGGCAUGUAGCACCUAAGCAACUGACCUCAGUUAUUAAGUCUCCUGCCCUCUAGACGUCAAACUGACAUAGCCUGACUGAGAGUCUCAGACAUAUAAAAACUGACAUUUACCAUAAAUCACAUUGCUAGCAUACACUAUCAGGAUUCAACAGAGAUCUAUAACAUGGGCCAAGAUCUCAGAGACCCAUAGUAUAAGCCAAGAUCUCAGGCAUACACAAACACUCUUAUUAGAUAGAAUAUUCUAAGGGAUAAAAAGUUAUCUCCCAGGAGCCAUUCAAGACCAGAUCCUUCUUUGGAAUGUGUAGCGUUUGACAACACAGGUCUGCUAAGCUAAUCUUUUACUGCACAACAACAUAUUACAAUUUGUGGGACACAGCUAAAGUGUUGCUGAGAGAGAAAAUUACAUCACAAAAUGCAUUUGAAGUGUUGCAAAGAAAAGAACAAAAGUUUCAAAUCAAAAGCCUAAAGUAUUAUUUCAAGAACCUAGAGAAAGGAUAGCAAAAUAAAUCCAAAAUAAGGGAAUCAGAGUCAUGACUGGGUGUGAAGCAGGCAAAAAAAUCACUGCAGGAGGUAGUUCUGAUUGGUCCAUUCUUGCUGCAGUUUCUGAUUCUCUGCAGAGCAACAGCCAUGGCCCCUGUCUGCACCAUCACCUCUGCCUUCAUUGUUAUUGGAGGUUGAGCUGUCUGGACUCUGGCAUCACUGCUGAGGAAUGAGGAAAGGAGAAUAGACUCUGUGAUCCACCUUGGCCUAGGGCCUUGCCUUGGAGCUGUGAGGAAAAAUAUUCUCCCCUACAAAAGCAACUUCAAAAAAUUGGAACAAGUGACUGCUACAACAGAUAUGCAGAUAUCAAUGGAGGACACAGAAAACAUGAAAGAGCAGAGAAAUAUGACACUACCAAUGGGCAACAAUUGUCUGGCAACAGAUCCCAGUAAAAAAUAAUUUCACAAAAUUCCAGAUAAAGAAUUCAAAAUAUUGGCUUUGAAUGAAAUGAGAAGCUGAAUAAGAUGAAACAAAAAUCUGAAAAUCGAUACAAAGAAAGCAGAAAAUCAAUUAAGAAAAUGAAUGUAAAAUUUACCAAGGUGAUAAAUAUCUUUUAAAAAAAGCAGAAAUGCUGGAGCUAAAAAUUCAAUGAAGGAAAUACUAAAUACAUUAAACACCUCAAUAAUAGACUAGACCAAGCAGAAGAAAGUCUUUCAGAACUUGACAUGGCUUUUGAAAUAAUUCAGUGUGACAAAGAUAAGAAAACAUAAAUAAAAAAGAAUAAACAAAGCCUUUGAGAUACCUCAGAUAACAUAAAGUGACCACACUUACCAAUUAUUGGUAUUCCCAAGAGGAAAGACAGAUCAAAAAGUUUAGAAAGCCUAUUUAAGGAACUAAUCAAUGAAAACAUUUCAAGUCUAGCAAGACAAUUAAACAUCCAGGUACAGGAGGCUCAGAGAGCCUCAGGCAAAUGUAUUACAAAAAGGACUUCAUCACAGCAUGUUAUAUUUAGAAUGUCUAAUGUCAAAAUGAAAUAAUUUUAAAAUUAGCGAGAUAAAAAUACCUAGUCGCCUAUAAGGGAGACUACCUUAGAUUAAUAGUAGACUUUUCAUCAGAAACCUAAGAAGCCAGAAGCAAACAGGAUGACAUUUUCAAAGCAUUGAAAGGAAAACAGUGUCAGCCAAGAAUUUUAUAUCCUGCCAGAGCAAGCUUCAUAAGUAAAGAAGAAAUAAGAUAUUUCCUCAAUAAGCAAACACUGAGGGAAUUUGUCACCACUAGACUAGCCCUACAAGAAAUACUCAAAGAGGUCUUAAACAUUAAAAACAAAGAUCUGUAGUUACCAUCACAAAAAUACAUGGAAAUAUAAAACUUACACUUCUUACAAAACAAUCACAUGAAGAAGGAAGAGACAGGAAUCAAAUGUCAACACAACAGAAUUUCAUUAAACCACAAAGACAAAAAGAAAAAGAAAAAAAUUAUACAACUUAUAAACAAUUAACAAUAUGACAGGAACAAAGCUUCACAUCUCAGUAUUAAUCUUGAGUGUAAAUGAGUUAAAAUGUACCACUUAAAAUAUAGAAAUUGGCAGAAUGGAUUUUUAAAAAGCAUGAUGCAUCUAUAUACUGCCUACAAGAAACUCACCUUACUCAAAAAGACACAUAUAGACUGAAAGUAAAGACAUUAAAAAAGAUAUUCCAUGCAAUUUGAAGCAAAAGGCCAUGAGGAUUAGCUACACUUAUUUUAGAUAAAGCAGACUUUAAAUCAAAAUCAAUAAAAAGUGACAAGAAAGAUUAUUACAUAAUGAUAAAGGGAUCAAUUCAGUGAGAAGAUAUAACAUUCUAAAUAUAUGCACCCAACAUCAGAGCACCCAAAUUUACAAAACAAAUAUUACCAGACAUAAAGAAAGAAUUAGAGAGCAAUAUAUUUAUAGUGGGAGACUUCAACACCCCACUCAGAGUAGUAGACAGAUUGAGACAGAAAAUUAAUAAAGAAACUUAGAACUUAAAUUAGACUUUAGGCCAUGUACACUUAAUGGUCAUUUACAGAACAUUCUACUCAAUGAAUGCAGAAUAUACUUUUUUUAAUCAGCAGAUGAAACAUUUUCCAUUUUCAUACCACAUAUUAGGGCAUAAAGCAAGUCAACAUAUUUUUUCAAUUUAUAUUAUGUCAAGUAUCUUCUCAGACUACAGUGGAAUAAAACUAGAAAUCAAUACCAAGAACUUCAGAAACUACACAAAUACAUGGAAAUUAAACAGCAUGUUCCUGAACAAUCAUUGAGUUAAUGAAGAAAUUAAGAUAUAAAUUUUAAAAAUUUUUAAAUAAAUGAAAAUCAUGCACAACAUACAAAAACCUAUGUGAUACAGCAAAAGCAGUGUUCAGAGGGAAUUUUAUAGCAUUAAAUGCUUACAUCAAAAAAGUGGAAAUAUCACAAGUUAGCUAUCUAAUGUUAUACCUCAACGAACUAGAAAAACCAGAAAAGUCAAAGCCAAAGUUAUUAGGAAAAAAGAACUAACAAAGAUCAGAGCAGAAUAAAAUAGAGACCAAAAAAAUUACUAAAGAUCAACAAAACAAAAGGUUGGUUCUUUGAAAAGGUAAACAAAUUGAUAAACCACUAACUAAACUAAAGAGAAGACUCAACUAUGAUCAGAAAUGAAAAACAGAAACAUUACAAAUGAUACCACAGAAAUAUAAAAGAUCAUCAGAAACUAUUAUGAACAACUAUAUGCUCACAAAUCAGAAAACCUAGAGAAAAAUAGAUAAAUUCCUGGAAACAUGCAAUCUGCUGAGAUUGAACCAGGAAGAAAGACAACUCCUGAACAGGCUAAUGAUGAGUAGCAAGAAUUAAUCAGAAAAAAAAAGCCCAGGACAAGAUGGAUUCUACCACAAAUACAAAGAAGGGCUAAUACCCAUCAUCCUGAAACUAUUCCAACAAGUUGAGGAGGAGAGAAAUUUUCCUAACUCAUUCUACAAGGCCAAAUAUCCAUGAUGAAAAUAGACACAAAUAUCCUCAACAGAAUAUUAGCAAAUCAAUGGCUGGGUGUGGUGGCUCAGACCUAUAACCCCAGUACUUUGGGAGGCUUAGGCUAGAGGAACAUUUAAAGCUAGAAGUUUGAGACCAGCCUGGGCAGUAUAGCAGGACCCCAUCUCUACAAAAAAUUAAAAUAAAGAAAAUAAAUUAGUCAGGCAUGCUGGAACAUGCAUAUAGUCCUAGCUACUUGGAAGGCUGAAAUGGGAAGAUAAAUUGAGCCCAGGAGUUCAGGGAUGCAGUGAGACAUGACCAUGCCACCGCACUUCAGCCUGGGUGACAGAGACAGACCCUGUCUCAAAGAAAAAAAAAAAAAAAAACUAGCAAAUUAAAUGUAACAGUGCAUUGAAAUUGAAAAAUAAUAAAUACAUUAUGGUGAGGCUGAAUUUAUCCCAGGGAGGUGAGGAUGAGUCAACAUAUAUAAAUCAAUAAAUGUGAUAUAUCACAUAAACAGAAUUAAGGACAAAAACUAUAUUAUCACCUCAAUAGAUGCAGAAAAAGUAACUGACAGAAUUCAGCAUAUUUUAUGAUGGAAAAUUCUCAACUAUGAAUAGAAGGAACAUACCUCAACAUAAUAAAGGCCAUAUAUGACAAAUAUGACAAACCCACAGCCAACAUUAUAGUUAACAGAGAAAAGUUGAAAGCGUUCCCUCUAAGAACUGGAACAAGGCAAGGAUGACCACUUUCACCACUCUUAUUCAACAUAGUACUAGAAGUCCUUAUCAGAGCAAUCAGGCAAGUGAAAAUAAAAAUUAAAGGCAUCCAGAUUGGAGAAGAGAAAGUCAAAUUAUGCCUGUUGGCCAAUGAUAUAAUCUUACGUCUAGAAAGCUCUAAUGAUGCCACCACAAACCUCUUAUAUUUGAUAAAUGAAUUCAAUAACAUUUCAGGAUACAAAAUUAAUGUACUGAAAUCAGUAGUGAUUCUAUACACAAAUAAUUCUCUAGCUGAGCACCAAAUCAAGAAGGCAAUCACAUUUACAAUAGCUAUAAAAAUGUCUAGGAAUAUAUUAAACCAGGGAGAUGAAAGAUCUUUAUAAGAAUUACAAAACACUGAUGAAAGAAAUUGUAGAUGAUGGAAAAACAUCCUAUGCUGAUAUGGUUUGUUUGCGUGCCUACCCAAAUCUUACCUUGAAUUGUAGCUCCCAUAAUCCCCACAUGUCAAGGGAGGGACCUGGGGCAAGGUAAUUGAAUCAUGGGGGCAGGUUUUUGCUGUGCUGUUCUCGUUAUAGUAAGUCUCAUGAGAUCUGAUGGUUUUAUAAAGGGCAGUUCCCCUGCACAUGUGCUCCUGCCUGAUGCCAUGUAAGACGUGCCUUUACUCCUCCUUUACCUUCCGCCAUGUUUAUGAGGUCUCCCCAGCCAUGUGGAACUGUGAGUCCAUUAAAGCUCUUUUUCUCUAUAAAUUACCCAGUCUCAAGUGUGUCUUUAUUAGCAGCAUGAGAACUGACUGAUAUACAUGAUCAUGGAUUGGAAGAAUCAUUAUUAAAAUGACCAUACUGUGAUAUGGUACACAUGUGUAAUAUUUGGAAUAGAUAUGGUAUAGUAUUACAGGUAUAAUGUAGGAAAGCACAUUAUCUUGUAUAAUCAGACUCUUCUAGCUAAUCCAUAUGCUUAUAUUUAAUUGUGAUGUUUCACUUGACAUAGCACUUUACUGAUUACACCAGUUUUUACAUAUCAUUAAAUGAGCCAGAUUAUAUGAAUUCAUUUGGAAAGCCUCAAGUGCCACCGAAAGGCAAAACACUUGAUGGGUUAUUAACAGUUAUUGAGCACUAGUUUUUUGCCAGGUAUUCUGUGUGACAUGUGUAGGUAAAGGACAUGAUCACUGCCUUGGAGGACCUCAGAGAAAACAAUUUAAAUAGUGCAGUAAAUGCUGCAAAGAGGGAAGCACAAGAUGAUAUGGAACCACAAACAACAACCACCUAGCCUAGACUUUGUGAGAAUAUGUAGAGCUGCCUACCAGUGGUGACAUCCAAACUCAGAUCUUAAAGAAA
This 20097-nucleotide long non-coding RNA is filed under the name Homo sapiens (human). RNAcentral's name for it is "CCDC26 long non-coding RNA". Lineage: Eukaryota; Metazoa; Chordata; Mammalia; Primates; Hominidae. The record is from RNAcentral.